RNAcentral lists this long non-coding RNA (600 nucleotides) under Brassica napus (rape). RNAcentral describes it as "long non-coding RNA (BNAP_LNC016047)". Lineage: Eukaryota; Viridiplantae; Streptophyta; Magnoliopsida; Brassicales; Brassicaceae. The record is from RNAcentral.
UUCUUCCUUCUGCAUCGGAAAAGAUUUUCAAGACAUCUACACAUCUUUCAGUUAAUGGAUCAAGUGACGCAUAUUCCACUUCUUGGAUGUGUCAUGGAUCUUUUUUGUCAACUAUUUACAUCAUUCAAGGCAUCAGAUUCAAGUAAGGCUUGCAAUGAAAUCGUUGUUGACACCACGAUAACAGGAAAUCUAGAAGCUCAAAAACACUUCACACAACUACAGUGUAUCAAGCUUAGUUGAUUGGCAUGUGGCCCCAACUGUAUAAUAUGUAAAUAGUCUCUCAGGAUUUAUUGUAUUUGAAAUAUCAUAAAAGCAUAUAUGAUUAUAUCUAUUGUGACAUAGCUUGUAACAUUAUAGUGUGAUUUUGUAUACGUGUGCUUUUUUUGUUUCUUUGUAUAACUAGAAAGAAUCAGUAUAAUCUGCAAUAUAGAAACCACGAAAUCUAAGAGUAAAUGAUAGUUGGACGUCCAAUAUAUGAAUCACAAAAUCUUUGCCUACAUGCCUUAUAGUGAGAGAUCAAGCUAUUCAUAGUUCAUAUAAUUGAUGGUAUCUAGCCUAGGUAAGUGUGUAGACUUGUUCAGCAUGUGUAUAAAAUGUUCC